This 76-nucleotide transfer RNA is filed under the name Aquimarina sp. AD1. RNAcentral describes it as "tRNA-Phe". It matches the Rfam family "tRNA". Rfam says of the family: Transfer RNA (tRNA) molecules are approximately 80 nucleotides in length. The record is from RNAcentral. Lineage: Bacteria; Pseudomonadati; Bacteroidota; Flavobacteriia; Flavobacteriales; Flavobacteriaceae.
GGAAUAGUAGCAAAGUUGGUCAAUGCGUCGGAUUGAAGAUCCGAAGAUAUAGGUUCAAAUCCUAUCUGUUCCACUA